RNAcentral lists this ribosomal RNA (485 nucleotides) under uncultured bacterium. RNAcentral describes it as "bacterial SSU rRNA". It matches the Rfam family "Bacterial small subunit ribosomal RNA", at positions 30 to 510 of the family's 1533-position model. The record is from RNAcentral.
AUUGAACGCUGGCGGAAUGCUUUACACAUGCAAGUCGAACGGUAACAGGUCUUCGGAUGCUGACGAGUGGCGAACGGGUGAGUAAUAUAUCGGAACGUGCCCAGUCGUGGGGGAUAACGUAGCGAAAGUUACGCUAAUACCGCAUACGAUCUACGGAUGAAAGCGGGGGAUCGCAAGACCUCGCGCGAUUGGAGCGGCCGAUAUCAGAUUAGGUAGUUGGUGGGGUAAAGGCUCACCAAGCCAACGAUCUGUAGCUGGUCUGAGAGGACGACCAGCCACACUGGAACUGAGACACGGUCCAGACUCCUACGGGAGGCAGCAGUGGGGAAUUUUGGACAAUGGGCGCAAGCCUGAUCCAGCCAUUCCGCGUGCAGGACGAAGGCCUUCGGGUUGUAAACUGCUUUUGUACAGAACGAAAAGCUCUGGGUUAAUACCCUGGGGUCAUGACGGUACUGUAAGAAUAAGCACCGGCCAACUACGUACCG